AGUAUAAAGGUAGUGACUGUGAAACUGGUCUCAAAGAUUAAGCCAUGUUAUGGUUUAUAUAAGCGAGUAUACUGUGAAACUGCGAAUGGCUCAUUAAAUCAGUUAUGGUUUAUUUGAUUCCCGACUUCUACUUGGAUAACCGUAGUAAUUCUAGAGCUAAUACAUGCAGGAGUUCCCGUCGGAUUUCGGGGCGGUCCCGCCGGUCUGCCGAUGGGUACGCACUGGCGGGCGCGUCCUUCCUCCCGGAGACGGCCGCUACUCUUAACUGAGCGGUGGUCGGAGACGGGAUGUUUACUUCAGCUUUCGAUGGUAGGAUAGAGGCCUACCGCCUACCAUGGCGUUAACGGGUAACGGAGAAUUAGGGUUCGAUUCCGGAGAGGGAGCCUGAGAAAUGGCUACCACAUCCAAGGAAGGCAGCAGGCGCGUAAAUUGCCCGAAUCCUGACACAGGGAGGUAGUGACAAGAAAUAACAAUACAGGGCUCUUCGAGUCUUGUAAUUGGAAUGAGUACAAUUUACAUCUCUUCACGAGGAUCAAUUGGAGGGCAAGUCUGGUGCCAGCAGCCGCGGUAAUUCCAGCUCCAAUAGCGUAUAUUAAACGAUGGGUACGCACUGGCGGGCGCGUCCUUCCUCCCGGAGACGGCCGCUAUGCCGAUGGGUACGCACUGGCGGGCGCGUCCUUCCUCCCGGAGACGGCCGCUACUCUUAACUGAGCGGUGCGCUCUUGCAUGGAUUAGCAUGGGAUAAUGAAAUAGGACUCUGGUGCUAUUUUGUUGGUUGAUUAGCAUGGGAUAAUGAAAUAGGACUCUGGUGCUAUUUUGUUGGUUUCGAGCACCGGACCGGAGUAAUGAUUAACAGGGACAGUCAGGGGCACUCGUAUUCCGCCGAGAGAGGUGAAAUUCUCAGACCCGAACCACUGCGAAAGCAUUUGCCAGGGAUGUUUUCACUGAUCAAGAACGUCAAGAACGAAAGUUAGGGGAUCGAAGACGAUCAGAUACCGUCGUAGUCUUAACCAUAAACCGACUAGGGAUUGGAGGAUGUUCCAUUUGUGACUCCUUCAGCACCUUUCGGGAAACUAAAGUCUUUGGGUUCCGGGGGGAGUAUGGUCGGGUCGCAAGGCUGAAACUUAAAGGAAUUGACGGAAGGGCACCACCAGGAGUGGAGCGUGCCAACACGGGGAAACUUACCAGGUCCAGACAUUGUGAGGAUUGACAGAUUGAGAGCUCUUUAUUGAGAGCUCUUUCUUGAUUCGAUGGGUGGUGGUGCAUGGCCGUUCUUAGUUGGUGGAGUGAUUUGUCUGGUUAAUUCCGUUAACGAACGCCUGCUAAAUAGCGUGCCGAACCCUUUGUUGGGCGUCGCUUCUUAGAGGGACAACUUGUCUUCAACAAGUUCAACAAGUCGGCAAUAACGGCAAUAACAGGUCUGUGAUGCCCUUAGAUCGCACGCGCGCUACACUGAUGCAUUCAGCGAGUCUAUCACCUUGACCGAGAGGUCCGGGUUUUGAACUUGAUCUUGUGAAGGGAUAGAUUGAUGGGGAUAUUAAAUCUUCAACUAUUAAUCAAUUCCUAGUAAGCGUGUGUCAUCAGCGCACGUUGAUUACGUCCCUGCCCUUUGUACACAUUUGUACACACUCCUACCGACUCCUACCGAUUGAAUGAUCCCCGGACUGCCCCGGACUGCGCUGGUUCUCAGCUUUGGGGGUUGCGGGAACUGUCCGAACCUAUCGG
This 1725-nucleotide ribosomal RNA is filed under the name Isochrysis galbana. Its description in RNAcentral is "SSU rRNA". It matches the Rfam family "Eukaryotic small subunit ribosomal RNA". The record is from RNAcentral. Lineage: Eukaryota; Haptophyta; Isochrysidales; Isochrysidaceae.